This 780-nucleotide ribosomal RNA is filed under the name Glutamicibacter arilaitensis. RNAcentral describes it as "bacterial SSU rRNA". It matches the Rfam family "Bacterial small subunit ribosomal RNA", at positions 555 to 1334 of the family's 1533-position model. RNAcentral also lists the same sequence under 1 other name. The record is from RNAcentral. Lineage: Bacteria; Bacillati; Actinomycetota; Actinomycetes; Micrococcales; Micrococcaceae.
UGGGCGUAAGAGCUCGUAGGCGGUUUGUCGCGUCUGCCGUGAAAGUCCGAGGCUCAACCUCGGAUCUGCGGUGGGUACGGGCAGACUAGAGUGAUGUAGGGGAGACUGGAAUUCCUGGUGUAGCGGUGAAAUGCGCAGAUAUCAGGAGGAACACCGAUGGCGAAGGCAGGUCUCUGGGCAUUUACUGACGCUGAGGAGCGAAAGCAUGGGGAGCGAACAGGAUUAGAUACCCUGGUAGUCCAUGCCGUAAACGUUGGGCACUAGGUGUGGGGGACAUUCCACGUUUUCCGCGCCGUAGCUAACGCAUUAAGUGCCCCGCCUGGGGAGUACGGCCGCAAGGCUAAAACUCAAAGGAAUUGACGGGGGCCCGCACAAGCGGCGGAGCAUGCGGAUUAAUUCGAUGCAACGCGAAGAACCUUACCAAGGCUUGACAUGUGCCAGACCGCUUCAGAGAUGGAGUUUCCCUUCGGGGCUGGUUCACAGGUGGUGCAUGGUUGUCGUCAGCUCGUGUCGUGAGAUGUUGGGUUAAGUCCCGCAACGAGCGCAACCCUCGUUCCAUGUUGCCAGCACGUAGUGGUGGGGACUCAUGGGAGACUGCCGGGGUCAACUCGGAGGAAGGUGGGGAUGACGUCAAAUCAUCAUGCCCCUUAUGUCUUGGGCUUCACGCAUGCUACAAUGGCCGGUACAAUGGGUUGCGAUACUGUGAGGUGGAGCUAAUCCCUAAAAGCCGGUCUCAGUUCGGAUUGGGGUCUGCAACUCGACCCCAUGAAGUCGGAGUCG